This 558-nucleotide ribosomal RNA is filed under the name uncultured bacterium. RNAcentral's name for it is "bacterial SSU rRNA". It matches the Rfam family "Bacterial small subunit ribosomal RNA", at positions 28 to 623 of the family's 1533-position model. The record is from RNAcentral.
GAUGAACGCUAGCGAUAUGCCUAACACAUGCAAGUCAAACGAAAAGUAAUUUUUUUGUGGCAAACGGGUGAGUAACGCGUAAGAAUUUACCUUUAGGAAAGGAAUAAUUAUUAGAAAUAGUAGCUAAAACCUUAUAUGCUUAAGUUAUUAAGUGAAAAAAGAAAUUUGCCUAAAGAGAAGCUUGCGUCUGAUUAGCUAGUUGGUAGGGUAAAGGCUUACCAAGGCGACGAUCAGUAGCUGGUCUGAGAGGAUGAUCAGCCACACUGGAACUGAGACACGGUCCAGACUCCUACGGGAGGCAGCAGUGAGGAAUUUUCUGCAAUGGGCGAAAGCCUGACAGAGCAAUAUCGCGUGAGGGACGAAGGCCUGCGGGUUGUAAACCUCUUUCUUCAAGGAGGAAAAAUUGACGUUACUUGAGGAAUAAGCAUCGGCUAACUCUGUGCCAGCAGCCGCGGUAAUACAGGGGAUGCAAGUGUUAUCCGGAUUUAUUGGGCGUAAAGCGUCUGCAGGUUGAUAUUUAAGUCUUUUGUUAAAGCUCUAUGCUCAACAUGGAAGAUG